CGGCCAAUGCGGAAGGAGACGCUAUGGACUUACUGUUCCCGAAAGACUCCUGGUCGGCAGUUGGCUUUUGAGUGAGGCGCUCUUGGCUGUGUCUAUGGGCCAAAAACCACACGUUCCCGCUAUUUGACAAAAGCUCAGGGCCAUACCGUUUGCUGAGGCCAAGUCGAUGCGCUCCAGCACGACGCGCAGGCCGUCCAGACUGGAUAUGGGGGCACCCAAAUCCAAAGGUUCCGUCUGGCCGCUCUACAACAAAGCAGACACAACGCUUUUGAAGUGCCGGCAGAACACGGGAUAAAAGAAGAGAUCCACUGCCGCCAUGUUGACAUUGAUGCUGUGACACAGAACCUGUAGGACUUCCCGAAUGGAGGCGCCGGGCCGAAGGUUGAUGGAGGAGCUGGAGCCAUCGGGUAGCGUCACACUGCAGUGUUUCGGGGAGC
Molecule: long non-coding RNA, 437 nt
Organism: Hippocampus zosterae (dwarf seahorse)
Lineage: Eukaryota; Metazoa; Chordata; Actinopteri; Syngnathiformes; Syngnathidae
Exons: 3
Source: RefSeq, a predicted model, not a curated record